This 637-nucleotide ribosomal RNA is filed under the name Bacillus subtilis. RNAcentral's name for it is "bacterial SSU rRNA". It matches the Rfam family "Bacterial small subunit ribosomal RNA", at positions 556 to 1193 of the family's 1533-position model. The record is from RNAcentral. Lineage: Bacteria; Bacillati; Bacillota; Bacilli; Caryophanales; Bacillaceae.
GGGCGUAGAGGGCUCGCAGGCGGUUUCUUAAGUCUGAUGUGAAAGCCCCCGGCUCAACCGGGGAGGGUCAUUGGAAACUGGGAAACUUGAGUGCAGAAGAGGAGAGUGGAAUUCCACGUGUAGCGGUGAAAUGCGUAGAGAUGUGGAGGAACACCAGUGGCGAAGGCGACUCUCUGGUCUGUAACUGACGCUGAGGAGCGAAAGCGUGGGGAGCGAACAGGAUUAGAUACCCUGGUAGUCCACGCCGUAAACGAUGAGUGCUAAGUGUUAGGGGGUUUCCGCCCCUUAGUGCUGCAGCUAACGCAUUAAGCACUCCGCCUGGGGAGUACGGUCGCAAGACUGAAACUCAAAGGAAUUGACGGGGGCCCGCACAAGCGGUGGAGCAUGUGGUUUAAUUCGAAGCAACGCGAAGAACCUUACCAGGUCUUGACAUCCUCUGACAACCCUAGAGAUAGGGCUUUCCCUUCGGGGACAGAGUGACAGGUGGUGCAUGGUUGUCGUCAGCUCGUGUCGUGAGAUGUUGGGUUAAGUCCCGCAACGAGCGCAACCCUUGAUCUUAGUUGCCAGCAUUCAGUUGGGCACUCUAAGGUGACUGCCGGUGACAAACCGGAGGAAGGUGGGGAUGACGUCAAAUCAU